Molecule: small nuclear RNA, 107 nt
Organism: Ursus americanus (American black bear)
Lineage: Eukaryota; Metazoa; Chordata; Mammalia; Carnivora; Ursidae
Source: Ensembl
GCGGUCGUUUCGGCAGCACAUACACUAAAAUUGGAACGAUGCAGAGAAGAUUAGCAUGGUCCCCUGCACAAGGAGGGACAUGACUUAGGGCACUUGAACGUGCUUUC